AGCUUGCUCUCGGGUGACGAGCGGCGGACGGGUGAGUAAUGUCUGGGAAACUGCCUGAUGGAGGGGGAUAACUACUGGAAACGGUAGCUAAUACCGCAUAACGUCGCAAGACCAAAGUGGGGGACCUUCGGGCCUCAUGCCAUCAGAUGUGCCCAGAUGGGAUUAGCUAGUAGGUGGGGUAAYGGCUCACCUAGGCGACGAUCCCUAGCUGGUCUGAGAGGAUGACCAGCCACACUGGAACUGAGACACGGUCCAGACUCCUACGGGAGGCAGCAGUGGGGAAUAUUGCACAAUGGGCGCAAGCCUGAUGCAGCCAUGCCGCGUGUGUGAAGAAGGCCUUCGGGUUGUAAAGCACUUUCAGCGGGGAGGAAGGCGRURAGGUUAAUAACCUYRUCGAUUGACGUUACCCGCAGAAGAAGCAC
Molecule: ribosomal RNA, 422 nt
Filed under: Klebsiella pneumoniae
Lineage: Bacteria; Pseudomonadati; Pseudomonadota; Gammaproteobacteria; Enterobacterales; Enterobacteriaceae
Description: bacterial SSU rRNA
Source: RNAcentral